This 367-nucleotide ribosomal RNA is filed under the name uncultured bacterium. RNAcentral describes it as "bacterial SSU rRNA". It matches the Rfam family "Bacterial small subunit ribosomal RNA", at positions 28 to 361 of the family's 1533-position model. The record is from RNAcentral.
GAUGAACGCUGGCGGCAUGCCUAAGACAUGCAAGUCGAACGAGAUGGCCCAGUGAAGGUUGAGUGCUUGCACGAGACUGAAUCUGGAUUCCCAUCUAGUGGCAGACGGGUGAGUAACACGUGGGUGACCUACCUUUUCGUUGGGGAUAACAGUUGGAAACGAUUGCUAAUACCGAAUAAAAUGUAAGAGUCAAUUUUACAUUGAAAGGAAGCCUUUAAAGCUUCGCGAUUAGAUGGGCCUGCGGCGUAUUAACUAGUUGGUGAGGUAAUGGCUUACCAAGGUGACGAUGCGUAGCCGAACUGAGAGGUUGAUCGGCCACAUUGGGACUGAGACACGGCCAAACUCCUAGGGAGACAGCAGUUAGGAA